RNAcentral lists this ribosomal RNA (253 nucleotides) under uncultured bacterium. RNAcentral describes it as "partial 16S ribosomal RNA". It matches the Rfam family "Bacterial small subunit ribosomal RNA", at positions 524 to 776 of the family's 1533-position model. The record is from RNAcentral.
UACAGGGGGGGCAAGCGUUGUUCGGAAUUACUGGGCGUAAAGGGCUCGUAGGUGGCCAACUAAGUCAGACGUGAAAUCCCUCAGCUUAACUGGGGAACUGCGUCUGAUACUGGAUGGCUUGAGUUUGGGAGAGGGAUGCGGAAUUCCAGGUGUAGCGGUGAAAUGCGUAGAUAUCUGGAGGAACACCGAUGGCGAAGGCGGCAUCCUGGACCAACACUGACACUGAGGAGCGAAAGCCAGGGGAGCAAACGGG